AGCCAGACUCCUACGGGAGGCAGCAGUGGGGGAUAUUGCACAAUGGGGGAAACCCUGAUGCAGCGACGCCGCGUGUGGGAAGACGGUCCUCUGGAUUGUAAACCACUGUCCCCAGGGACGAAGAUGACGGUACCUGGGGAGGAAGCUCCGGCUAACUACGUGCCAGCAGCCGCGGUAAUACGUAGGGAGCGAGCGUUGUCCGGAAUUACUGGGUGUAAAGGGAGCGUAGGCGGGCGAGAAAGUUGAAUGUUAAAUCUACCGGCUUAACUGGUAGCUGCGUUCAAAACUUCUUGUCUUGAGUGAAGUAGAGGCAGGCGGAAUUCCUAGUGUAGCGGUGAAAUGCGUAGAUAUUAGGAGGAACACCAGUGGCGAAGGCGGCCUGCUGGGCUUUAACUGACGCUGAGGCUCGAAAGCGUGGGGAGCAAACAGGAUUAGAUACCCCGGUA
Molecule: ribosomal RNA, 446 nt
Filed under: uncultured bacterium
Lineage: Bacteria
Description: bacterial SSU rRNA
Rfam family: Bacterial small subunit ribosomal RNA
Source: RNAcentral